This 300-nucleotide ribosomal RNA is filed under the name uncultured Bacillus sp. RNAcentral describes it as "bacterial SSU rRNA". It matches the Rfam family "Bacterial small subunit ribosomal RNA", at positions 496 to 795 of the family's 1533-position model. The record is from RNAcentral. Lineage: Bacteria; Bacillati; Bacillota; Bacilli; Caryophanales; Bacillaceae.
GCUAACUGGGUGGAAGGAAGCGCGGUGGUAAGAGGUGGGCAAUCGGUAAUGGGGAGUACUGGGCGGAAAGCGCGAGUAAGUGGUUGAGUAAGGUGGAAGUGAAAUCCCAGGGCUCAACCUGGGAACUGCUUUCAAAACUGCUGAGCUAGAGUACGGUAGAGGGGUGUGGAAUGUCCUGUGUAGCGGUGAAAUGCGUAGAUAUAGGAAGGAACACCAGUGGCGAAGGCGACCACCUGGACUGAUACUGACACUGAGGUGCGAAAGCGUGGGGAGCAAACAGGAUUAGAUACCCUUGUAGUC